AGUGAACGCUGGCGGUAGGCCUAACACAUGCAAGUCGAACGGCAGCACAGUAAGAGCUUGCUCUUACGGGUGGCGAGUGGCGGACGGGUGAGGAAUACAUCGGAAUCUACUUUUUCGUGGGGGAUAACGUAGGGAAACUUACGCUAAUACCGCAUACGACCUACGGGUGAAAGCAGGGGAUCUUCGGACCUUGCGCGAUUGAAUGAGCCGAUGUCGGAUUAGCUAGUUGGCGGGGUAAAGGCCCACCAAGGCGACGAUCCGUAGCUGGUCUGAGAGGAUGAUCAGCCACCCUGGAACUGAGACACGGUCCAGACUCCUAAGGGAGGCAGCAGUGGGGAAUAUUGGACAAUGGGCGCAAGCCUGACCCAGCCAUACCGCGUGGGUGAAGAAGGCCUUCGGGUCGUAAAGCCCUUUUGUUGGGAAAGAAAAGCAGCAGGUUAAUACCCCGCUGUUCUGACGGUACCCAAAGAAUAAGCACCGGCUAACUUCGUG
This 492-nucleotide ribosomal RNA is filed under the name uncultured bacterium. Its description in RNAcentral is "partial 16S ribosomal RNA". It matches the Rfam family "Bacterial small subunit ribosomal RNA", at positions 29 to 507 of the family's 1533-position model. The record is from RNAcentral.